GUGGCUCCAUUGAAGUCCACCUCCAUUGAGCUACACCAGCUGAGGAGCUGGCCCAUAAGAUGCAGGGGGAGAGAACACUGCUGUGAGGACUGAAUCUUGAGGUUCCUCAUGAAUGCGGGGAUCUGCCUGCGUGACUCAGAUUGCAAGCACCGAGCGCAGCGGGGUCCUGAUCCAUGACCGAGGCUCCUAGACUCUGCCAUAAAUAAUAAAAAUAAAAAUAGGGCCUUGGCUUAUGAGACCAGCUGUAGGAAUGGCUGGCUGCAGCUCUGUGGCCUGAGCUAUACGAGGGGUCGCUCUGGAUGAUCACAAUGGUCCUUUCUGGCCUGGAAAUCUAAGAAUCCAUGAAUCCAUCUUCCAGUUGGAGGAGGUAUCAGAGAAUUCCCCUUGGUUGCAACGGGUUCCCCCUGUUACUUUCCAUGCCGCCAGUGCCUGCGACUGAGCAUUAAUGCUGGAGCUGGGAAGGCAGAAAGAAAGAGGUUAGAAUCCUAGACAUUGGACCAUCGAUUGCUGGUAUUUCUCCACUGGAAUAUUUACAGGGCACUUAGGGACUGUGGUGGUAACGUCCAGAUAAACAGAUAGACAAUGGUAUGUCUAGGGGUGGACGGAUCACUGAGGACUUCAUUCCCCUUCCAUCCCAUCUUACUGGUAAAUGGAUCCAAACAUUUAUACUCCCGUGAAACUGACGUCCCAGGCCAGAUGGAAGAAGAGAGGGGGCUUGGAGAAGAGGCAAGGGCCCUUGCAAAGAUCUGCUUUCUUCUGCUCACUCGCUUGCACAUGCAGCCUGGGCAGGUUUGCAGAGCUGGGCUGGUGCUGUAGUUAAUACUGGUGCCACAGCGCCUGGGAGCAAUUGCUUUCAUUACCAGCAAGAGCCUCCUUAAAUGCUUAAUUAAAGAUCUGCGGCGGGAGACACUGCCUGGCUGGAAAGCACCCAGAUCGUCCUGGUGAACGGCCAAGCCAGGAUGAACAGCAAGCUGAGGGCCGAGUGGUCCAUGAACCAGGCUGGGGUUUGGGAGACAGGGUGUUUAGCUGAACCUUACACUGGAAGGGGCAGAGACUCUUAUUGUGUGUUGUUCGUACAGCACCCAGCACACUGGGGCUCUGAUCUGACUGGGGCUGUCAUUGUCGAGGCUGACAGGCCCAGGGGCAGCUUCACCCUCUGGAGAUGUUUGCAGAGCCGUUGCACGGCCGAGCCUGGAGUGACGGGCAAGGCACGCAGGGUGACUGACUUUCUCCCGGGGUUGGUGCGCAGUUCCUUUGCUGCUGCGCCUUGCUAGGCGCGUUAUCAGUGCCCUGCUCUGGGAGCUACCGGCUGCCAGCUCCCCCACAGCUGCCUGGCGUGCUUCUAGCUGGCAUGCAGCGCUGUGUUGGUGCAGAGAUAGGAUCUGAUCACAUGUGGCAGAUGGUUUCAUACCCCCCUGCCGGUGCCUGGGUGUGCGUGGGAGGAUCUGGGGCUGAGGGAAGGCCUGCAGCGAGGGAGGGGACAGGUUUGCAGAGCAAAAAAUAAACACACUGAAAAUGAGGGCUGGGCCAACCGGCGUGAGAUCAAGUGAGAAGCGGCCCACACCUUCCCUCUGAGCAGGAUCUGAGCUGUCCCCUGGAGUCCUGGCUCCCAGUCCCCUGCUCCGACCAGUCACACUGCUUAGUUGUGAGACAGUCGUGUCCCCACCCCCCCGGCUCCCUGCAGGGGAUUCUUUAUGGUCCCCCCAGCCCACCACAGGGCCUCUGAGCUGCAGGAGAGCAACAGCUGAACUGGUUUAAGUCUGGCUAAGAUCCGGUGAAUAGGUCCCCUCGUCCCCUCUGGGUGCUGGCCAGAGCCCCCAAGGGAAGGGAGGUAUCACUGAAACCCAGUGACUGAGAGGCUGACAGGGGCGAUGGAGCAGCGCCACCCUGUGGCUCCUCUCAGCCACUGCAAGCGGCUGAGCUGGCUGGCUCUGGAGUGGGGGAGGGGAAGGCUCUCUGUAAGGACCCAGAAAGCCAGAGUCUGGUUUCAGUGGGCCGGUCGGUCAGGUGAGAACAAGCCGGGGUGCUUUCCCCACCAGCUGCCCUGCCCGGUGUGGCUCGGGCAGGGUGACAGCCCUCAUGCUGCAGGGCACAGGGACAGGAAGAAUUCUUCUCCCCCCGAUCCUACCACGUUGUGCAAUGAGCUAGCUGCUGUGCUGAGUUACAGAGGUGCUGGAAGCAGGAUGCUGGACCGUGGGCUGGCUCUUCUCCCAUGGCACCUCUCUUCCAGUGAGAUCAGGCAAUCUCUGAGCACUAGCCAGCUGCGGCCAAAGUGACAGGGCCCAGCAUGGACACCAGAGGCCGGGCUGGCUUUGCUCAUGUGCCUGGGAGCCCACUGAAAGCAGCAGCAUUGCAUGGGAGACCAGAGGGCUGGGUCGCCCCCGAGAUGAGUGCCCCUUUCUCCUGCCCACGUUCCCAGAGCCCAUCUUGGCUCAUUUGGGAGCCACGAAGACCAUGUUGCUGAGCGGCUCCGUGCAUUAGGGUGAACAGGAGAGACUGCAAACCCGGGGAACAAAAAUCACCAGGGUGGGAAAUGCAGCUAGUGUAGGGGAAUCACACUCCAAUACUCUGUGGGAGGCAAAACACCGAGAUGCUGAAAUAGACCCAGAAUGGGGGGGCGUUUGCUUUUUCUGUCAUGUCCUCCAAGGGCGGGGGCAUCUGCCUGCAGAUCCCGUUAGUCUGCCCCAGCGCACGACCCGAUACCUACAGCGGCACCAAUCCCCACUUCCAUGCACGUAGGAAUGAAGCCGCCCACCCUGAACCUGCUCUGCCGGCACCAUACGCAGCGGCUCGGCUCACCCUGGACACAGUACCCAAGGGCUCCAGACUCUGCACUGGCUCCCAGCUGUCCUGACAGGCAAAGCCUCCUGGGAGAUUGGCUCUCGCUCCUCCCAUGCCAGUGAUUUUUCCCAGGUGGCUACGCUCCACUGAGACAAUGCAAUGGGGAGGCUCCCAUGUGUGGGAACCUCCCCGGGAGCUGAGUUUAGACUCUGGAACUCAUGGCCACAUGAGCUAAGGAUCACCACAGGCGUCUGUUCAGAGCUAAAUGCAAACCCCCUCUCUUCCUUCACAUGCAUCUGCAACUGCAUAGACACACAGCCAGCCCCACUGAACCAUACACAAACCAAGGUGCUUCUCCUACAGACCGGGCAGCCGCAAACAGCUGGGAUCCCUGGACCCUCAUCCUGGGGUGGGGGUGUGGGGAUCCCAGAACCCCUACAUGGUGUGUUAAUCUCA
Molecule: long non-coding RNA, 3237 nt
Organism: Mauremys reevesii (Reeves's turtle)
Lineage: Eukaryota; Metazoa; Chordata; Testudines; Geoemydidae
Exons: 3
Source: RefSeq, a predicted model, not a curated record